This is a long non-coding RNA of Sinocyclocheilus anshuiensis, 259 nucleotides long. RefSeq lists it as uncharacterized. The record is from RefSeq and is a predicted model, not a curated record. The transcript is spliced from 3 exons. NCBI's taxonomy places the organism in Eukaryota, Metazoa, Chordata, Actinopteri, Cypriniformes, Cyprinidae.
UCUCUCUAUCGUGCACGGAUGCCUGAGGAGCGCGGGGUUCGCUGACGCUCCGGGGAACAGAAACAAAGAAAAUAAUCUUCUAGAUGAGUUUUAUCGAUGGAUUGAUGGUAAAGAAAAGGAUUUAAAGGGGACGUGCUGUACCUGCACCAUUCUGGAAUUUUCUGAGUUUAACGAUCUCCUUGGUCAGGUUUUUUUUCCUUGUUGUUCUGUCCUUUUCCAAAUUCGAUUGCUGUCUGUCUGAUGUGACGAGAUGUUCCGG